UGCGUAGGUGGCGCCAUAAGUCAGGCGUGAAAUCUCGGGGCUUAACUCCGAAACUGCAUUUGAUACUGUGGUGCUUGAGGACUGGAGAGGAGACUGGAAUUCACGGUGUAGCAGUGAAAUGCGUAGAUAUCGUGAGGAAGACCAGUGGCGAAGGCGGGUCUCUGGACAGUUCCUGACACUGAGGCACGAAGCCAGGGGAGCAAACG
Molecule: ribosomal RNA, 206 nt
Filed under: uncultured bacterium
Lineage: Bacteria
Description: partial 16S ribosomal RNA
Rfam family: Bacterial small subunit ribosomal RNA
Source: RNAcentral